AGGCGCUCGCCUUGAAGACUAGUUGAAAGUUAACGUUAACUAUGUCUUAUUGUCUUGUUAUGUAACAAGCACGAGUAUUGGUGUUAUGUAAAGAAGUUAUAAUAAGAAGAAGAACCUAUGAGACUAGAGAAGAGUAGAUAAUACUCUAACCUUAAGCAAAACACAGUUAGAUCUAUGUUUUGGUGAGUAUUUUUAAUGUUUGGUUUUAACUUUUAUAAAGAGG
Molecule: long non-coding RNA, 223 nt
Filed under: Brassica napus (rape)
Lineage: Eukaryota; Viridiplantae; Streptophyta; Magnoliopsida; Brassicales; Brassicaceae
Description: long non-coding RNA (BNAP_LNC015994)
Source: RNAcentral